RNAcentral lists this long non-coding RNA (548 nucleotides) under Callithrix jacchus (white-tufted-ear marmoset). RNAcentral describes it as "lncRNA (ENSCJAG00000055208.2)". Lineage: Eukaryota; Metazoa; Chordata; Mammalia; Primates; Cebidae. The record is from RNAcentral.
CCCAAGAAGAUGAAUUAUUGAAACAGGGGUUCACCUUCUGUUGUGUAGGGCUGUUGUUUCACAGUCAGAGUGCAUCCAAGUCAGGGCUCUGCCAGAAAUGAAGCACGGAGGAGCCACCAGUUGGUCCCUUUCUUUCAAAGGACACCAGUUCUUCACCAUCCCUGCAGCAACCUCUCUCAUCUCAGCCUCCUGCCAAGGUUUCAGAUCUCAGGGAGACACAGGCUCAUUGGCACGCACCGACGAUCACUGAGCCAACUUUGGAAGUCGUGGAUUUCUGAGCCGGCCUUGCAUAGGGCAGGCACCUGCCUUUGGCUGAGUGGUGUGAAAGAUGUUGGCAGCAGCUCAGCCUGCGCUGGUCCGGGGUCUCCAUGAACCUCCUCUCUGCAGCUCCUGACCUCCGGGGUCCUGUGUGGACUCCUGCACCCACCUGCUGCUGCCCCCCGCACAGCUCCUGUGACCCACUGGCUGGCACAGAGGAGCAGGUGGGCCCUCGUACACCUUGUACCCACUGACUCCUGCAGCUUGAAAUGUGAAUAUUGACCUGAAUU